This 1209-nucleotide ribosomal RNA is filed under the name Batillaria australis. Its description in RNAcentral is "partial 16S ribosomal RNA". It matches the Rfam family "Bacterial large subunit ribosomal RNA", at positions 508 to 2571 of the family's 2925-position model. Lineage: Eukaryota; Metazoa; Mollusca; Gastropoda; Batillariidae. The record is from RNAcentral.
CUUAUGUGGCUUAAAGUCAAACUAAUUGAAAAUGGAAUUUGAAACAUCAAAAAAUUUAGUAGUGGAGAAGGAAACUUAAUAUAAUGAAUAAAAGUACUGUAAAGGAACAAAGCUAAAUAUAAAGAAAUUAGUUCAACUCGCGUACUUUUCGCAUCACGGCUUAGCAAGAACUGACUUAAGGCUUUAGAUUCUCGAAAGUUGGCGAGCUAUUUUUUCCCGGGGACUAGACCUAAUUCUUAGAAAUUACUCAAAAUGUAGCAAAAUUUUAGUAAGAGGGAAAAAUAGAGAUGAAAUUUUAUUCGCGCUAACGAUAGCUAGUUUCCCCAGAAACGUAUAGAAGUACUAAAAUAAAAUUAAGCCAAAGAAAUACCCAUUCUCUGGAUUGUUUUAAUAUUUAAGAUUUUUAAGGAUAAGCUUGAAAAUACCCGGUAAAAAAUAUAUACAAAAUUCAUAACGUAGGCUUGAAAUUGGCCAUCAUAAAAAACUUGUUACAAAGUAGUUUUUUAGAUUUUAUAAAAUAAAUAUAUUCUUGUUCCGGCCCUUAUGGGGAUAAAAAAUAAAACCAAUUGAUUUUUUAACCUAUGCUAAGAUGAGUAUUAAAAAUCUCAAUUAAAGGUCAAGAGCAAUAUAAUUUUAGCCCUUACAAAAGAAGCUGAAAAAAAAUUGGAGUUAAAUAAAAGGAAGGAACUCGGCAAAAUAAAUUGCUUCGCCUGUUUAUCAAAAACAUGGCUCUCUGCCUCUAAAAAAUAGAGAGUCGGACCUGCCCAGUGAAGAUUUUCAACGGCCGCGGUACUCUGACCGUGCAAAGGUAGCAUAAUCAUUUGCCUUAUAAUUGAAGGCUUGUAUGAAUGGUUUGACGAGAGCAAUACUGUCUCCCUUUUAAUUAAUAGAACUUAACCUUUAGGUGAAGAGGCCUAAAUUUGAUUGAAGGACAAGAAGACCCUGUCGAGCUUAAAAGAAAGGUAGAAAAAUGGGCUAUAUUAAUCAUAGAUGUACUACUACUAAAGCUUUUUGGUUGGGGCGACUAAGGAACAAAAAAAGCUUCUUUAAAUAAAUAAACCUAUUAGUGAUGAUCCAGCAUACCUGAUUAAAAGAAUUAGUUACCGCAGGGAUAACAGCAUAAUCUUCCUUGAGAGGCCUAAUCGAAAGGGGGGGUUGUGACCUCGAUGUUGGACUAGAAUAUCCUAAAGAUGUAGAAGUCUUUAAGGG